UUUUAGGUAAAUGUUGCUCUUCUAGUGCUGUGUUUGUGUCUCAACAUCUUUCCGGCCUUUUUAUGGGUCAAAGAAAAGAGACAAGAACGACAGAACAAACGUACUGGAGUAUAUGACGUAUGGAGAUUCAAGUAUAGUACCAAACAAUAAUAAUUGAACAAUAACUAUAAUUGAACAGUUAUAAUUGACGUGUGAAGAUUCAUUAACUGAAUAAUUGAAUAGUUUUAGGCUAUUCAAUAAUUUAUAGAGAUAAAAAUAUAAUCAUAUAAUUUUCAAAUUUACGCUUGAGGCUGUUUAUAUAUUGUCCCGCUUAUACGAUGAAUCGAUUCCGGGGAGUCCAAGAUCGAGCAUUUAAAGUUGUCUUUGGAAGUAAAACUAUUAAUAACUGGAUCUUAUUGUAAUCGAUUGGCCAUCCUGGAUGUUUGCAGAUGUUUGAAUGGAAGUGCACCUUCACCAUAUGAAAACUAUUUUAAAAGAAUUGAACAUAAAAUGAACACUCGAAAUAACAGAAAGAACAUUAUUUUUCCAAAGGUCAAAACUGAGAGUGGGAGAAGAUCAUUCAUGUUCCAAGGUGGAAAACUUUGGAAUACAUGCACUACCAGCAGAUCAGAAAGAG
Molecule: non-coding RNA, 616 nt
Organism: Paramuricea clavata
Lineage: Eukaryota; Metazoa; Cnidaria; Anthozoa; Malacalcyonacea; Plexauridae
Source: the annotation of a GenBank genome assembly